RNAcentral lists this transfer RNA (70 nucleotides) under Etheostoma gracile (slough darter). Its description in RNAcentral is "tRNA-Pro". It matches the Rfam family "tRNA". Rfam says of the family: Transfer RNA (tRNA) molecules are approximately 80 nucleotides in length. Lineage: Eukaryota; Metazoa; Chordata; Actinopteri; Perciformes; Percidae. The record is from RNAcentral. RNAcentral also lists the same sequence under 2 other names.
CAAAGAAUAGUUUAACUUAGAAUCCUAGCUUUGGGAGUUAGGGGUGGGAGUUAAAAUCUCCUUUCUUUGA